GAUGAACGCUGGCGGCGUGCCUAAUACAUGCAAGUCGAGCGAACAGACGAGGAGCUUGCUCCUCUGACGUUAGCGGCGGACGGGUGAGUAACACGUGGAUAACCUACCUAUAAGACUGGGAUAACUUCGGGAAACCGGAGCUAAUACCGGAUAACAUGUUGAACCGCAUGGUUCAACAGUGAAAGACGGUCUUGCUGUCACUUAUAGAUGGAUCCGCGCCGCAUUAGCUAGUUGGUAAGGUAACGGCUUACCAAGGCAACGAUGCGUAGCCGACCUGAGAGGGUGAUCGGCCACACUGGAACUGAGACACGGUCCAGACUCCUACGGGAGGCAGCAGUAGGGAAUCUUCCGCAAUGGGCGAAAGCCUGACGGAGCAACGCCGCGUGAGUGAAGAGGGUCUUCGGAUCGUAAAACUCUGUUAUUAGGGAAGAACAAAUGUGUAAGUAACUAUGCACGUCUUGACGGUACCUAAUCAGAAAGCCACGGCUAACUACGUG
RNAcentral lists this ribosomal RNA (497 nucleotides) under uncultured bacterium. RNAcentral describes it as "partial 16S ribosomal RNA". It matches the Rfam family "Bacterial small subunit ribosomal RNA", at positions 28 to 507 of the family's 1533-position model. The record is from RNAcentral.